This is a long non-coding RNA of Brassica oleracea var. oleracea, 437 nucleotides long. RefSeq lists it as uncharacterized. The transcript is spliced from 3 exons. The record is from RefSeq and is a predicted model, not a curated record. NCBI's taxonomy places the organism in Eukaryota, Viridiplantae, Streptophyta, Magnoliopsida, Brassicales, Brassicaceae.
GUUCUUGUGAGAUGGAACGAUCAAGAGCCAGACGAUUCUUCAUAACAAAAGCCAAAAGAUCAAGGGCCACAUGAUAAAGGUUGUUUGAUCAAGAUGCAAUGUCAAGGUUCAUGAGACAAAAGCCCUACGCUUGUUGAUAGAGUAUCACGGGAGUGGAUGCUUGGACAAGAACAGGAGAGAGUGGAGAGGCAGACAAGACCACGCGAGAGUUGAGCAUUGUAUUGUCUUGUACUCUUCUAUCACGGGUCUUUGUAUUUGGUCACGGGUCUUGUACUCUUGCAUUGUAUUGUAUUUGGUCACGGGUCUUUGUAAUUGGCCACGGGUUCUGUCUCUGCAUUUGGACACAAGAUGUCACAAACAGACUUAUAAAAUUUUAUGUUUCACUUUCUCAUUCUCACCAUUCUUGCAAGUUAUAAACAAUCCAUUCUCACUUUUAA